This 69-nucleotide transfer RNA is filed under the name Schistocephalus solidus. It matches the Rfam family "tRNA". From Rfam's summary of the family: Transfer RNA (tRNA) molecules are approximately 80 nucleotides in length. Lineage: Eukaryota; Metazoa; Platyhelminthes; Cestoda; Diphyllobothriidea; Diphyllobothriidae. The record is from Rfam by way of RNAcentral.
GAGCCCGUGGCACAAUGGUAGAGCGUUCGACUCAGAUACGAAAGAUCGCGGGUUCGAAUCCCAGGUUUG